CUAGCUUCAGCGAUGGAUCGGUCGAUUCGCGUAUCGAUGAAAAACGCAGCUAGCUGCGUUAUUUACCACGAAUUGCA
This 77-nucleotide ribosomal RNA is filed under the name Necator americanus (New World hookworm). Its description in RNAcentral is "partial 5.8S ribosomal RNA". It matches the Rfam family "5.8S ribosomal RNA", at positions 1 to 76 of the family's 154-position model. From Rfam's summary of the family: 5.8S ribosomal RNA (5.8S rRNA) is a component of the large subunit of the eukaryotic ribosome. Lineage: Eukaryota; Metazoa; Nematoda; Chromadorea; Rhabditida; Ancylostomatidae. The record is from RNAcentral.